GACGAACGCUGGCGGUGUGCCUAAUACAUGCAAGUAGAACGCAGUUGCGAACGGGUGAGUAACGCGUAGGUAACUGCCUCAUAGCGGGGGAUAACUAUUGGAAACGAUAGCUAAUACCGCAUACUGUGAGAUGGACCUGCGUUGUAUUAGCUAGUUGGUGGGGUAAAGGGUCACCAAGGCGACGAUACAUAGCCGACCUGAGAGGGUGGUCGGCCACACUGGGACUGGGACAAGGGCCAGACUCCUACGGGGAGGAGCAGUAGGGGAUCAUCGGAAAUGGACGGAAGUCUGGCCGAGGCACGCCGGGUGAGUGAAGAAGGUUUUCGGAGCGUAAAGCUCUGUUGUUAGAGAAGCGGUAACUAAACAGAAAGGGACGGCUAACUACGUGCCAGCAGCCGCGGUAAUUC
This 407-nucleotide ribosomal RNA is filed under the name uncultured bacterium. RNAcentral describes it as "partial 16S ribosomal RNA". It matches the Rfam family "Bacterial small subunit ribosomal RNA", at positions 28 to 526 of the family's 1533-position model. The record is from RNAcentral.